AAACUAGGAAAGGAUGAAAAUUUCCUUGUUGUUUCGAGUUAAAAAAACAAAAACAAGGAGGAAUAAAAGCAAAGAGCUGAAUCUUAACCGUGACCGAACAAAAGUAGGACACAGUGUUUAUUCAAGCAUAACAAUACCCCUGUGACGUUGAGAAAUAAGCCUGGGCCUACUUUACGAUAAAUAAUUAUAAAAGUCUAGCCUCUAUCUUUGACGAACUACGAUCAGGAAGCUGGCUGUCAGAGUUGCGGCGACAGACCAGUCGGUUGAAAGCGUAGACACUUGUCGCAGGCAGUUGACAGUUGACAACGCAAUCGAUGAAUAAUAGCAUACGAAGUUGCGAUCGUGUUCUACGUAUAGCUUGCUAGAUCUGCAUACACGAAGAAACGCUUUCCAGAAAUUUUGUAAGUUUAAUUUAUCCAGAGAGUCUUUCGGAGCACAGAGUGAGUGAGAGAUGGCCGCAAUCAACUUCCAGUUAUCCUCGGAUUUUGGCUUCGUCAUCCUGGUUGUAGUGACCGGAUGGGUGUUCCUUCAGUAUUUGGCGAUGAAUGUUAUGAAAGCAAGAAAGAAGUACGAUGUGAAGUACCCAGCCUUAUACAGUGACAAAAGUCCCGAGUUCAACUGUGUGCAGAGAGCCCACCAGAAUACGUAAGGGUUUCUCACCUUUAGGGUUGGGGGGGGGGAGGGUUCAUUUUGAUGCCAGCCUGGUGAAUACAGUGACUUGCAUAGAGUCUGGCACAUAUAUUUUUUUUUAUUGUUGCCCGUUGUUGUUGUAAAGUUGUUAUCAGUCCAGUUUCUUGUUGCCCCUUGUUAUUAUCAAUUCAGUUUGUUGUUGUUGUUGUUAUCAGUUCAGUUUGUUGCCUGUUCAGUGUCUUGAUAUAUUACACCAAAAAAUAUACAUUGUACCCUCUCUCAAGAUCGUAGGCUUGUGGAAGGUAUAUAUAAGCGUUUUGUUUCAAUUGCUGUAAAUUUGUCUUUCUCUUAAUUUUUAAUGAAUGAGAAUAGUAUUAAACUCUUGCUUGUAUUUUGACCAAAAAAAGUUACACCAACUUUCAUGUAUAUUUUGACUACAUUUAGUCAAGAAAGAACUUUUGUUAGUGGGAGUGACCUUGGACAACACUGCUAGCUCAUAUUAAAUUAUGAUUCCCGUAUUUUAUUUUUUUCUUUCUAAUGGAAAUAGGGCCGGGGCUUGAUGCUUCACAUCCUUUUUGUUUUUUGUUGCUGUGCUAUUUCUUCUCAACACCCCCCCCCCCCCCCCCCCCCCCC
Aplysia californica (California sea hare) is the source of this 1263-nucleotide long non-coding RNA. RefSeq lists it as uncharacterized. Lineage: Eukaryota; Metazoa; Mollusca; Gastropoda; Aplysiida; Aplysiidae. The record is from RefSeq and is a predicted model, not a curated record. The transcript is spliced from 2 exons.